Molecule: ribosomal RNA, 2733 nt
Filed under: Enterobacter cloacae
Lineage: Bacteria; Pseudomonadati; Pseudomonadota; Gammaproteobacteria; Enterobacterales; Enterobacteriaceae
Description: bacterial LSU rRNA
Rfam family: Bacterial large subunit ribosomal RNA
Source: RNAcentral
UUAAGCGACUAAGCGUACACGGUGGAUGCCCUGGCAGUCAGAGGCGAUGAAGGACGUGCUAAUCUGCGAAAAGCGCCGGCGAGGUGAUAUGAACCUUUGACCCGGCGAUGUCCGAAUGGGGAAACCCAGUGCAAUCCGUUGCACUAUCGUUAACUGAAUACAUAGGUUAACGAGGCGAACCGGGGGAACUGAAACAUCUAAGUACCCCGAGGAAAAGAAAUCAACCGAGAUUCCCCCAGUAGCGGCGAGCGAACGGGGAGCAGCCCGGAGUCUGAAUCAGCUUGUGUGUUAGUGGAACGGUCUGGAAAGUCCGACGGUACAGGGUGAUAGUCCCGUACACGAAAGCACACAUGCUGUGAACUCGAAGAGUAGGGCGGGACACGUGGUAUCCUGUCUGAAUAUGGGGGGACCAUCCUCCAAGGCUAAAUACUCCUGACUGACCGAUAGUGAACCAGUACCGUGAGGGAAAGGCGAAAAGAACCCCGGCGAGGGGAGUGAAAAAGAACCUGAAACCGUGUACGUACAAGCAGUGGGAGCCUCUUUAUGGGGUGACUGCGUACCUUUUGUAUAAUGGGUCAGCGACUUAUAUUCUGUAGCAAGGUUAACCGUAUAGGGGAGCCGAAGGGAAACCGAGUCUUAACUGGGCGUUAAGUUGCAGGGUAUAGACCCGAAACCCGGUGAUCUAGCCAUGGGCAGGUUGAAGGUUGGGUAACACUAACUGGAGGACCGAACCGACUAAUGUUGAAAAAUUAGCGGAUGACCUGUGGCUGGGGGUGAAAGGCCAAUCAAACCGGGAGAUAGCUGGUUCUCCCCGAAAGCUAUUUAGGUAGCGCCUCGUGAACUCAUCUUCGGGGGUAGAGCACUGUUUCGGCUAGGGGGCCAUCCCGGCUUACCAACCCGAUGCAAACUACGAAUACCGAAGAAUGUUAUCACGGGAGACACACGGCGGGUGCUAACGUCCGUCGUGAAGAGGGAAACAACCCAGACCGCCAGCUAAGGUCCCAAAGUCAUGGUUAAGUGGGAAACGAUGUGGGAAGGCACAGACAGCCAGGAUGUUGGCUUAGAAGCAGCCAUCAUUUAAAGAAAGCGUAAUAGCUCACUGGUCGAGUCGGCCUGCGCGGAAGAUGUAACGGGGCUAAACCAUGCACCGAAGCUGCGGCAGCGACACUAUGUGUUGUUGGGUAGGGGAGCGUUCUGUAAGCCGUUGAAGGUGUCCUGUGAGGGGUGCUGGAGGUAUCAGAAGUGCGAAUGCUGACAUAAGUAACGAUAAAGCGGGUGAAAAGCCCGCUCGCCGGAAGACCAAGGGUUCCUGUCCAACGUUAAUCGGGGCAGGGUGAGUCGACCCCUAAGGCGAGGCCGAAAGGCGUAGUCGAUGGGAAACAGGUUAAUAUUCCUGUACUUGGUGUUACUGCGAAGGGGGGACGGAGAAGGCUAUGUCAGCCGGGCGACGGUUGUCCCGGUUUAAGCAUGUAGGCGGAGGUUCCAGGUAAAUCCGGUACCUUAUUAACGCUGAGGUGUGAUGACGAGGCACUACGGUGCUGAAGUGAUAAAUGCCCUGCUUCCAGGAAAAGCCUCUAAGCAUCAGGUAACACGAAAUCGUACCCCAAACCGACACAGGUGGUCAGGUAGAGAAUACCAAGGCGCUUGAGAGAACUCGGGUGAAGGAACUAGGCAAAAUGGUGCCGUAACUUCGGGAGAAGGCACGCUGAUAUGUAGGUGAAGUCCCUGCGGACGGAGCUGAAAUCAGUCGAAGAUACCAGCUGGCUGCAACUGUUUAUUAAAAACACAGCACUGUGCAAACACGAAAGUGGACGUAUACGGUGUGACGCCUGCCCGGUGCCGGAAGGUUAAUUGAUGGGGUUAGCGGCAACGCGAAGCUCUUGAUCGAAGCCCCGGUAAACGGCGGCCGUAACUAUAACGGUCCUAAGGUAGCGAAAUUCCUUGUCGGGUAAGUUCCGACCUGCACGAAUGGCGUAAUGAUGGCCAGGCUGUCUCCACCCGAGACUCAGUGAAAUUGAACUCGCUGUGAAGAUGCAGUGUACCCGCGGCAAGACGGAAAGACCCCGUGAACCUUUACUAUAGCUUGACACUGAACACUGGUCCUUGAUGUGUAGGAUAGGUGGGAGGCUUUGAAGCGUGGACGCCAGUCUGCGUGGAGCCAACCUUGAAAUACCACCCUUUAAUGGCUGGUGUUCUAACGUAGACCCGUAAUCCGGGUUGCGGACAGUGUCUGGUGGGUAGUUUGACUGGGGCGGUCUCCUCCCAAAGAGUAACGGAGGAGCACGAAGGUUGGCUAAUCCUGGUCGGACAUCAGGAGGUUAGUGCAAUGGCAUAAGCCAGCUUGACUGCGAGCGUGACGGCGCGAGCAGGUGCGAAAGCAGGUCAUAGUGAUCCGGUGGUUCUGAAUGGAAGGGCCAUCGCUCAACGGAUAAAAGGUACUCCGGGGAUAACAGGCUGAUACCGCCCAAGAGUUCAUAUCGACGGCGGUGUUUGGCACCUCGAUGUCGGCUCAUCACAUCCUGGGGCUGAAGUAGGUCCCAAGGGUAUGGCUGUUCGCCAUUUAAAGUGGUACGCGAGCUGGGUUUAGAACGUCGUGAGACAGUUCGGUCCCUAUCUGCCGUGGGCGCUGGAGAAUUGAGGGGGGCUGCUCCUAGUACGAGAGGACCGGAGUGGACGCAUCACUGGUGUUCGGGUUGUCAUGCCAAUGGCACUGCCCGGUAGCUAAAUGCGGAA